GAAUACGAAAAAAAAAGAAAAUGCUUCCCCAUAACACACGUAAAUCACCGAACAGCCAUUUCAGAGUCACAACGAGUCUAAUUCACAGGCAAGAGGAAGGGAGGAAGACGAGGCUCCAGCAAAUAGAGGAGGAGCGGUGGGUUGACGCCAGAAGGGAGAGAGGAGAGCUCCGCCACGGUGGGCGUACGGGACAAGCUGAAGAAAAAGCUCAAGAGACAUACAAAGAGGUUAAAACCAAGGAGCAACAAGAGGAAAGAGAAUAAGAAUAAGAAGAGGAAAUAAAAGUAGAAAGGAAAGAGGAAAUAAAAAAUAGAAACGGAAGAUCACAGAGGAAAGAGAAGAAGAAAAUCCAAAAGGAGGAAAGCGAGGACGAAGAAAGAGAAGAACCAAAAAGGCCACAAAAGCUCAGUGUUCCACAAUCAGCAACGCACAAACGACCUUGGUGUGAGACCGGCCCCGAAAGCAGUGUUUCGCGGCGCCCCCCCCCCCCCUUCCUCCUCCUCCUCCUCCCCUGCCCAGCGAGGCAUGGAGCCCUUCACGGCGGGCAUCCUGGCGGUCGGGGGCAUGAUCGCCGUGAUGCUGGCGGUCGUGGCUGCCCAGGAGAGCAACAGCAUCAACAACAGGAAGAGCAAGAGCAAGAGCAAGGCCCCGCCAAGCCCGCGGACGGAGCUGAAGUCGUCCGAGGAAAAGAGAUACUGAAUUCGAUACUUUUUUCACCCUGUUUUUCCUCUUUCCUUUUUUUCUAAUUUUCUUUUUUAAAGUUUGAGAUGAUGUAUUUGAGAAUUGUCUUUUUUAAAAUCAAAAUGAUUUUUAGGUGGCAUUUUAGGCAUUUUCAUGUACUUGUCAGUUUGUGAAUUUUGUUUUUUUUUCUUGAUUUUUUUAAAGCACCGUGAAUAUAUAUAUUUGUUUUAGUUGCUAUUAAUUUUAAUGAACUUGUAAUAACCA
Penaeus vannamei (Pacific white shrimp) is the source of this 945-nucleotide non-coding RNA. NCBI's taxonomy places the organism in Eukaryota, Metazoa, Arthropoda, Malacostraca, Decapoda, Penaeidae. The record is from RefSeq and is a predicted model, not a curated record.